UAACUGAUUAGGAAAAGUGCGCAUAAUCUUAAUAAUUGUUAGUGUACAGUUCUGUCACUCGCAAUCCCUACUUCACUAUAAAUAGACCUUAUUACUAUCAGCUCUUCAACCUUAUCAAAAACAAACUUAAAUUUUCUCUUUAUUAGUAGUUCAGUAAUUUCCUCGUCUUCUUCUUCAUUCUCUUCUUUCAGCGACCAUGUCUGGCUGUGGAGAAAUCAUGUCGUGCAGCAUUAGCUGCGGAGGGUGCAAGAUAUACCCAAGCUUUGAUGAGAGCUCUAACACUCAAAGCUUUAUUGUUGGUGUUGCUCCUCGUACAUCGCGUGGAUCAGGGAUCAAGGCAGAAGGGGAUGAUGACGAUGACACCCCUACUUUCUUUCAUGUUUAGGUGCAUCAAUUGACGGAUGCAGAAAGACGGUUACGAAUAUCUAGUUUUCAAUGUUGUUGUAAAAAUGAAGUUGGAUAUGCGUGUGGUUGUUUACAACCAUUCCUACUCUUUCAUGUUGUUUAGUUUCGAUUUUCUUUUUCUUGUUAUCUCAAGAAAAGAAAAUUUGUGUUGCUUGUGGUAUGUUUGGCUUUGGGUUUAUUAUUAAUCUUAUUAACAAAA
Long non-coding RNA from Papaver somniferum (opium poppy), 604 nucleotides. RefSeq lists it as uncharacterized. The record is from RefSeq and is a predicted model, not a curated record. The transcript is spliced from 3 exons. NCBI's taxonomy places the organism in Eukaryota, Viridiplantae, Streptophyta, Magnoliopsida, Ranunculales, Papaveraceae.